This 278-nucleotide unclassified non-coding RNA is filed under the name Hevea brasiliensis (rubber tree). Lineage: Eukaryota; Viridiplantae; Streptophyta; Magnoliopsida; Malpighiales; Euphorbiaceae. The record is from RNAcentral.
UACUGUUUGCCAUCAUAAAUAGUAUGUACUUCCUAUGAUAAUGAUAGAUAAUUCGACCUGCACCAUUCUAUUAGUGGUUAGAAAUUUUAUUGUAUGCAUAGAUUUCUUUUUUCUUCCCCCUGUGGUUAAUUUAACAAAAUAAUGCAAAGAAAAUAAAAUGUACUGUUAUUGAUGUUAUGUUAGUAAGUUGUGCUAAAGUCCAUCCUUUGCAUAGCUCUUAUUCUUAUCAGUAUGAUAUUUGGCUUCUCUAUUUCCUAUAUGAAAAUGGCAUGUCUCGA